UUUUACCGGAGUACUAUGAAUACUAUAAAUUUAAAACUCAAAGAACUUGAGCGGUGUUUUAGACCACUCAGGGGAACCUGUCUCGUAAUCGACAAUCCACGUUGUACCUGACCUUUCUUUGUUCUCAGUUUGUAUACCGUUGUCGUCAGGUAACUUUUUAGAAUGUAGAAGUUGGCUGGAGAAAUAAAUGAUUUAGUACGUCAAAUCAAGGUGCAGCUAAUAGAAAGGGGAGGAUGGGUUACAAUUAUUUAUUUAUAAUUACGGAUUAUUAUGUUAAAGCGUAAGGAUAAGAAGGAGGACUUGAAAGUAAAUUAAAUUUAUAAAAAUAAAUUUGAAUAAGGCUCUGAAACGUGU
RNAcentral lists this ribosomal RNA (354 nucleotides) under Terebra archimedis. RNAcentral describes it as "partial 12S ribosomal RNA". The record is from RNAcentral. Lineage: Eukaryota; Metazoa; Mollusca; Gastropoda; Neogastropoda; Terebridae.